UUGAACGCUGGCGGCAUGCCUUACACAUGCAAGUCGAACGGUAGAGGGGCAACCCUUGAGAGUGGCGGACGGGUGAGUAAUGCAUCGGAACGUGCCCAGUCGUGGGGGAUAACGCAGCGAAAGCUGUGCUAAUACCGCAUGUGAUCUGUGGAUGAAAGCAGGGGACCGCAAAGGCCUUGUGCGAUUGGAGCGGCCGAUGUCAGAUUAGCUAGUUGGUAGGGUAAAA
RNAcentral lists this ribosomal RNA (226 nucleotides) under uncultured bacterium. RNAcentral describes it as "partial 16S ribosomal RNA". It matches the Rfam family "Bacterial small subunit ribosomal RNA", at positions 30 to 262 of the family's 1533-position model. The record is from RNAcentral.